GCCGCAACGGUUCCCGUUUUUUACGGGAUUAAAAGGGAACGCCGUGAAAAUCGGCGACAGUUCCCGCUGCUGUAAACCCCGGCUUUUUUGCGUUGGCCGUAUGCCGUGUAAAAAAGUCCGUGCUUUUGGGACGUUAAGUCACUGCGCAUUUACCAAAAAUGCGUGGGAAGGCCUCAAAAGCGGGGUGAGUCAGAAGACCUGCCAUUGCAU
RNAcentral lists this non-coding RNA (210 nucleotides) under human gut metagenome. The record is from RNAcentral.